GAUGAACGCUGGCGGCGUGCCUAAUACAUGCAAGUCGAGCGAACAGACGAGGAGCUUGCUCCUCUGACGUUAGCGGCGGACGGGUGAGUAACACGUGGAUAACCUACCUAUAAGACUGGGAUAACUUCGGGAAGCCGGAGCUAAUACCGGAUAAUAUAUUGAACCGCAUGGUUCAAUAGUGAAAGACGGUUUUGCUGUCACUUAUAGAUGGAUCCGCGCCGCAUUAGCUAGUUGGUAAGGUAACGGCUUACCAAGGCGACGAUGCGUAGCCGAUCUGAGAGGGUGAUCGGCCACACUGGAACUGAGACACGGUCCAGACUCCUACGGGAGGCAGCAGUAGGGAAUCUUCCGCAAUGGGCGAAAGCCUGACGGAGCAACGCCGCGUGAGUGAUGAAGGUCUUCGGAUCGUAAAACUCUGUUAUUAGGGAAGAACAAAUGUGUAAGUAACUAUGCACGUCUUGACGGUACCUAAUCAGAAAGCCACGGCUAACUACGUG
This 497-nucleotide ribosomal RNA is filed under the name uncultured bacterium. RNAcentral's name for it is "partial 16S ribosomal RNA". It matches the Rfam family "Bacterial small subunit ribosomal RNA", at positions 28 to 507 of the family's 1533-position model. The record is from RNAcentral.